CCUACGGGAGGCAGCAGUGAGGAAUAUUGGGCAAUGGGCGCAAGCCUGAACCAGCCAAGUCGCGUGAGGGAUGACGGUCCUAUGGAUUGUAAACCUCUUUUGUCGGGGAGCAAGGCCCGCCUCGUGUGGCGGGAAGGAUAGUACCCGAAGAAAAAGCAUCUGCUAACUCCGUGCCAGCAGCCGCGGUAAUACGGGGGAUGCGAGCGUUAUCCGGAUUUAGUUGGUUAAAAGGGUGCGUAGGCGGAAGGUUAAGUCAGCGGUAAAAUUUCGGUGCUCAACACCGGCCGGCCGUUGAAACUGGUCUUCUUGAGUGAGCGAGAAGUAUGCGGAAUGCGUGGUGUAGCGGUGAAAUGCAUAGAUAUCACGCAGAACUCCGAUUGCGAAGGCAGCAUACCGGCGCUCAACUGACGCUGAGGCACGAAAGCGUGGGGAUCGAACAGGAUUAGAUACCCCAGUAGUC
Molecule: ribosomal RNA, 460 nt
Filed under: uncultured bacterium
Lineage: Bacteria
Description: partial 16S ribosomal RNA
Rfam family: Bacterial small subunit ribosomal RNA
Source: RNAcentral